Molecule: ribosomal RNA, 618 nt
Filed under: Geobacillus kaustophilus
Lineage: Bacteria; Bacillati; Bacillota; Bacilli; Caryophanales; Anoxybacillaceae
Description: bacterial SSU rRNA
Rfam family: Bacterial small subunit ribosomal RNA
Source: RNAcentral
AGGGACGAAGGAGCGCCGUUCGAAGAGGGCGGCGCGGUGACGGUACCUCACGAGGAAGCCCCGGCUAAAUACGUGCCAGCAGCCGCGGUAAUACGUAGGGGGCGAGCGUUGUCCGGAAUUAUUGGGCGUAAAGCGCGCGCAGGCGGUUCCUUAAGUUUGAUGUGAAAGCCCACGGCUCAACCGUGGAGGGUCAUUGGAAACUGGGGGACUUGAGUGCAGGAGAGGAGAGCGGAAUUCCACGUGUAGCGGUGAAAUGCGUAGAGAUGUGGAGGAACACCAGUGGCGAAGGCGGCUCUUUGGCCUGCAACUGACGGUGAGGCGCGAAAGCGUGGGGAGCAAACAGGAUUAGAUACCCUGGUAGUCCACGCCGUAAACGAUGAGUGCUAAGUGUUAGAGGGGUCACACCCUUUAGUGCUGCAGCUAACGCGAUAAGCACUCCGCCUGGGGAGUACGGCCGCAAGGCUGAAACUCAAAGGAAUUGACGGGGGCCCGCACAAGCGGUGGAGCAUGUGGUUUAAUUUGAAGCAACGCGAAGAACCUUACCAGGUCUUGACAUCCCCUGACAACCCAAGAGAUUGGGCGUUCCCCCUUCGGGGGGACAGGGUGACAGGUGGUGCA